UACGGAGGAUGCAAGCGUUAUCCGGAUUCAUUGGGUUUAAAGGGUGCGUAGGCGGAAUGAUAAGUCAGCGGUGAAAGCCUGCAGCUUAACUGUAGAAAUGCCAUUGAUACUGUCGUUCUUGAAUGCGGUUGAGGUAAGCGGAAUAUGUAAUGUAGCGGUGAAAUGCGUAGAUAUUACAUAGAACACCGAUUGUGUAGACAGCUUACUAAGCCGUGAUUGACGCUGAGGCACGAAAGCGUGGGGAUCAAACAGG
Molecule: ribosomal RNA, 253 nt
Filed under: uncultured bacterium
Lineage: Bacteria
Description: partial 16S ribosomal RNA
Rfam family: Bacterial small subunit ribosomal RNA
Source: RNAcentral